RNAcentral lists this microRNA precursor (102 nucleotides) under Marmota monax (woodchuck). Lineage: Eukaryota; Metazoa; Chordata; Mammalia; Rodentia; Sciuridae. The record is from RNAcentral.
AGUGGGAUUGCUGGUCAGAUGGUUGUUCCAUUCUGAGUUUUCUGAGGAAUCUCCAUACAGCUUUUCAGAGUGGAUGCACCAAUUUGCAGUCCCACCAGCAAU